RNAcentral lists this ribosomal RNA (500 nucleotides) under uncultured bacterium. Its description in RNAcentral is "partial 16S ribosomal RNA". It matches the Rfam family "Bacterial small subunit ribosomal RNA", at positions 30 to 523 of the family's 1533-position model. The record is from RNAcentral.
AUUGAACGCUGGCGGAAUGCUUUACACAUGCAAGUCGAACGGCAGCACGGACUUCGGUCUGGUGGCGAGUGGCGAACGGGUGAGUAAUGUAUCGGAACGUGCCCAGUCGUGGGGGAUAACGUAGUGAAAAUUACGCUAGUACCGCAUACGAUCUAUGGAUGAAAGCGGGGGAUCGCAAGACCUCGCGCGAUUGGAGCGGCCGAUAUCAGAUUAGGUAGUUGGUGGGGUAAAGGCCCACCAAGCCAACGAUCUGUAGCUGGUCUGAGAGGACGACCAGCCACACUGGAACUGAGACACGGUCCAGACUCCUACGGGAGGCAGCAGUGGGGAAUUUUGGACAAUGGGCGAAAGCCUGAUCCAGCCAUUCCGCGUGCAGGAUGAAGGCCCUCGGGUUGUAAACUGCUUUUGUACAGAACGAAAAGGUUUCUACUAAUACUAGGAGCUCAUGACGGUACUGUAAGAAUAAGCACCGGCUAACUACGUGCCAGCUGCCGCGGUAA